AUGCCACCAACCACGCCGCAGCACGGCGGCGAUGACGGCGAGCGGUUCGCGGAGGUGGUGGUGGUCCGGCACGGGGAGACGUCGUGGAACGCCCCCCGCAUCGUUCAGGGACAAAUGAAUCCAGAACUAAAUGAGACCGGCAGGCAGCAAGCUGUUGUGGUGGCCCGUCGUCUGUCGGCAGAGGCCAAGCCGGCUGAUGUAUACUCCUCCGACCUCAAGCGUGCUGCCGAGACUGCACAAGCCAUAGCUAAAGCUUGUGAUGUAUCAAACUUAGUGUUGACUGAAGAACUAAGAGAGAGGCACAUGGGACAUCUCCAAGGUAUGAAGUGGGACGAUGCGUUUGUUCAAAACCCAGGGGCUUUCAAAGGUUUCAAUAUCUUUGAGCCUAAAGGGGGCUUGAAUUUCAACGACAGAGACCAAGAAAUCCCGGGGAUCGCUGACAGCCUGAACCAGCUAACCCAGCAGUGUGUCACCUACCUGAACAAAAUCGCCCAGCAACACAUCGGGGAGCGGGUGAUCGUGGUCUCUCACGGCGCGGCGAUAGUGGAGCUCUGCCGGCACACCGAUCCCCCCGGCAGCUCGGUUCACCGGAACUUCCCCAACACCUCGCUCAACGUCUUCCAUGUCUCGGGUGUCACCAGGCAGUGGGCCCUAGCGAGGUUCAGCGACGUCGGCCACCUCGAUGGAAAGGGCGCUCUCGAGGAUGCCUUCGACGGCAACGGGGUGUCUGCCUAA
Molecule: ribosomal RNA, 735 nt
Filed under: Triticum aestivum (bread wheat)
Lineage: Eukaryota; Viridiplantae; Streptophyta; Magnoliopsida; Poales; Poaceae
Description: partial small subunit ribosomal RNA
Source: RNAcentral